Molecule: long non-coding RNA, 724 nt
Organism: Crotalus tigris (Tiger rattlesnake)
Lineage: Eukaryota; Metazoa; Chordata; Lepidosauria; Squamata; Viperidae
Exons: 2
Source: RefSeq, a predicted model, not a curated record
AGACACAUAGAUGGACCUUCUUCAUGAUGAUCUGUCCCCAAACUUGUCCUUCGGGUCUUCCAACAAUGUCCACUUCAACUGAGUAGUUGUCCUCUUCUCCUCUUCCCCUUCCACCUUUCCCAGCAUCAGAGUUUCUCCAGAGAGCUGAGUCUUUUGCACUGAUUGAUUGGUUGACAUCAAGUCCUUGUCAACUCAUCAUGACCAGACAGAAUUCCUCCGCGAUGAUCUGACCUGGUCUUUCAGACCUUCCAAUGCUGGCUUCAUCAGCACCGUGACGAAGUCCCUUCAUCUUGCUGUGGGUUGGUCCUCCUCUCCUCCUUCCUUCCAUCUUCUCCAGAUCCAGGCUCCAUCGAAGCCUUCUCUAGGGAGCUGGCUCUUCGCCUCACGUGUCCAAAGUCGGGACUUGUGUGCCUCAAGUGCGGUCUUGUUCCCAGCUCCUGGAUCAUCCUAUCUUUUGAAAAGCAGCCCUCUUUCUCUCUCCAGCAAAGCCUACUGACACACUCGCACAGACACACAUGAACAGGCUCUCACUUGGCCCCCCUCCCUGGUGAUUCAUGUUCCUCCCACACGCCUCAGCUGCUUUUGUUUUCCUCCGCAGAGCAAUGUGUCUAAUACAUGGCGAAAACACGCCGUGCCAAACGUCAGCUUGCGGAGCUGUUGGGAACACACACGGAUGUCAAGCGUAUGGCUUUAACCUUCAAAUAAAGCCUUGCCAGUAACUGGU